GCCGAUGUAGCUCAGAUGGUAGAGCAAUUGUUUCGUAAGCAAUUUAUAGAGGUUCAAUUCCUCUCAUCGGCU
RNAcentral lists this transfer RNA (72 nucleotides) under Endomicrobium sp. Its description in RNAcentral is "tRNA-Thr". It matches the Rfam family "tRNA". From Rfam's summary of the family: Transfer RNA (tRNA) molecules are approximately 80 nucleotides in length. Their secondary structure includes four short double-helical elements and three loops (D, anti-codon, and T loops). Lineage: Bacteria; Pseudomonadati; Elusimicrobiota; Endomicrobiia; Endomicrobiales; Endomicrobiaceae. The record is from RNAcentral.